This 459-nucleotide ribosomal RNA is filed under the name uncultured bacterium. Its description in RNAcentral is "partial 16S ribosomal RNA". It matches the Rfam family "Bacterial small subunit ribosomal RNA", at positions 338 to 795 of the family's 1533-position model. The record is from RNAcentral.
CCUACGGGAGGCAGCAGUGAGGAAUAUUGGUCAAUGGUCGGGAGACUGAACCAGCCAAGCCGCGUGAGGGAGGAAGGUACAGAGUAUCGUAAACCUCUUUUGUCAGGGAACAAAGACUGGGACGCGUCCCCGGAUGAGUGUACCUGAAGAAAAAGCAUCGGCUAACUCCGUGCCCGCAGCCGCGGUAAUACGGAGGAUGCGAGCGUUAUCCGAAUUUAUUGGGUUAAAAGGGUGCGCAGGCGGUCUGUUAAGUCAGCGGUAAAAGCCCGGGGCUCAACCCCGCCCCGCCGUUGAAACUGGCAGUCGCGAGUUGGAGAGAAGUAUGCGGAAUGCGCGGUGUAGCGGUGAAAUGCAUAGAUAUCGCGCAGAACUCCGAUUGCGAAGGCAGCAUGCCGGCUCCACACUGACGCUGAGGCACGAAAGCGUGGGUAUCGAACAGGAUUAGAUACCCCAGUAGUC